AUGUACUUAGUGUUCGCGAUUGACUUCCACGGUGAAGGAAUAAUUGUCAUCGUGUCAUAAAAAUAAGUCGCGAAAUUAUAACUUGCGUAAUUGCUAGUGUGUGUGAGUAACAAGUGUAUGACGAAACAGAAAUACUGUUUACUGGUGAUAGGUCGUCUUGUGAGUCCGCACGGGUAGGUACCACCACCCGGCCUCUAUUUCUGCCGUGAAACAGUAAUGCGUUUCGGUUUGAAGGGUGGGGCAGCCGUUGUAACUAUACUUGAGACAUUAGAACUAAUCUCAAGAUGGGUGGCGGCAUUUACAUUGUAUAUGUCUAUGGGCUCGGGUAACCAUUUAACACCAGGCCGUCCCUGAGCUCGUCCAACCAUCUAAGCAAUAAAUAAAUAAAAAACUACAUAUGAGUCGACUAUUAUCAAAGCCGGCAAUCUGACUUUUGGAAAAUUAUUGGUAAAUCAGAAAAACGAAUUAUUGACUUUGUAUUCCAUUGGCAGUCACAAAACUCUUCGGAACGACAUCUUAGAUAAAUAACAGGUUAACUAUUAACCUUUAUUUAAUGCAGGUUUUGAACCGUAUUCUUUGACGAUUAUAUUCAAAUCAAUCUGUAUUGACAUAUCAAUAACAUUUUUUUUGUCCAAAUGCACAGAUUGCCACCUUUGAUAAUAGACGACUCAUAUACUACUUUUACUAUACUAUACUACUUUUUACUUUGACAGAAAUAAAAAUAUUUUAUAAUAAUAAAAAACUGCGAAUUCAAACUAUACAAGUAAUUUGAAUUAGCACCAGCUCAAGAUUAUAAAACAAAAUUAUAUCUUUGCCUAUAUUUGUGACUCAAUAGAUAUAAAAAUGUAAACUAGCAGUGUAGCUAGUGGGGCAGCCGUUGUAACUAUACUGAGACCUUAGAACUUAUAUCUCAAGGUGGGUGGCGCAUUUACGUUGUAGAUGUCCAUGGGCUCCAGUAACCACUUAACACCAGGUGGGCUGUGAGCUCGUCCACCCAUCUAGGCAAUAAAAAAAAAAUAAAAAAUAAAAACCUUUUUACUAAGACAGACAAUUGUUUCUGGUUUUUUUCUUCGGGUGACGUCGAGUGUGAACACAAGUGUCUUCGAAGUUUCCCGGUGUUUUAAUUAAUAUUAUUUGUUUAAAUUGCUGUUGACUUGCGCUACUGAUUCGUGUUGGUGUUGGUAUAUAUCUGUUGUGCCGUGAGUGUAAAUAUAUUGUGUUUGUUAUAUUAUUAAAAGGUUAGUAAUUCAACAGUUGAUUACUUUGUAAAAUAAUAAUAAUUAAAAUUGAUGUGA
Molecule: long non-coding RNA, 1295 nt
Organism: Bombyx mori (domestic silkworm)
Lineage: Eukaryota; Metazoa; Arthropoda; Insecta; Lepidoptera; Bombycidae
Exons: 2
Source: RefSeq, a predicted model, not a curated record